UUAUUAAUAAUAUUCUUGCUUUUGUUUCAUGUCAAAUAAAACAAUUUUAAAUUUUCAAACGCGAGAAAAGUCACCCGAUAAAAUGCUUUUUACUCAUAUGCAUUUCAGGGUGUAGGGAUUCUCAUGGAAAACACUUUCCAUGGCUGGCAUGGGAGUUGAAGAAUUCUUGUGCAGCCCAAGUCUAGUUCUUGUGUUGCUCAUUUCUAUAUGUGCUAAAUGGAGGAUUUCUUUUUCAUCCGGAACCCUAGUAUUGCAGGAGAUAGUUGCUUUAUGGUAUUCAGGGUGGAAGCAGAUCACUUUAUCUUUUGUACUAGGGAUUUAAGAGGUUUAGGCAGAUGCUUGAAAGUUUAUUCAUACUUAUUGUGAAGCAGAUCAUCUGGAAAACUGGGGAGUUAUCAUGCUGAAGACAUUUUUCUCCUUAUUGAAGUUUUCCAAACAAACCCUUCCAUCUAGGGUGAAUUAUUGGUUUCAUUUGGCUUAGUAGGAGAUUUCAGAUAGAAGCCAUCAAUCCUGGCCCUCAAGGGUGGAAUGAUUUGAAGGUAGGUCACUAACUGUUCCAAGAACAUUCAAAGGGAUUAUGAAGCAUAGGAUUGAAGAUUUAUAUAAGGUAAUCAAAUGCAUACCUGGGGG
Long non-coding RNA from Vitis vinifera (wine grape), 630 nucleotides. RefSeq lists it as uncharacterized. The transcript has 4 exons. The record is from RefSeq and is a predicted model, not a curated record. NCBI's taxonomy places the organism in Eukaryota, Viridiplantae, Streptophyta, Magnoliopsida, Vitales, Vitaceae.